CGGUGAAUACGUUCCCAGGCCUUGUACACACCGCCCGUCAAGCCAUGGAAGCUGGGUGUACCUAAAGUCGGUAACCGUAAGGAGCCGCCUAGGGUAAAACUAGUGACUGGGGCU
RNAcentral lists this ribosomal RNA (114 nucleotides) under uncultured bacterium. RNAcentral's name for it is "partial 16S ribosomal RNA". It matches the Rfam family "Bacterial small subunit ribosomal RNA", at positions 1360 to 1482 of the family's 1533-position model. The record is from RNAcentral.